GACGAACGCUGGCGGCGUGCUUAACACAUGCAAGUCGAACGGAAAGGCCCUGCUUUUGUGGGGUGCUCGAGUGGCGAACGGGUGAGUAACACGUGAGUAACCUGCCCUUGACUUUGGGAUAACUUCAGGAAACUGGGGCUAAUACCGGAUAGGAGCUCCUGCUGCAUGGUGGGGGUUGGAAAGUUUCGGCGGUUGGGGAUGGACUCGCGGCUUAUCAGCUUGUUGGUGGGGUAGUGGCUUACCAAGGCUUUGACGGGUAGCCGGCCUGGGAGGGUGACCGCCCACAUUGGGACUGAGAUACGGCCCAGACUCCUACAGGGGGCAGCAGUGGGGAAUAUUGCACAAUGGGCGGAAGCCUGAUGCAGCAACGCCGCGUGCGGGAUGACGGCCUUCGGGUUGUAAACCGCUUUCGCCUGUGACGAAGCGUGAGUGACGGUAAUGGGUAAAGAAGCACCGGCUAACUACGUG
This 468-nucleotide ribosomal RNA is filed under the name uncultured bacterium. RNAcentral's name for it is "partial 16S ribosomal RNA". It matches the Rfam family "Bacterial small subunit ribosomal RNA", at positions 28 to 507 of the family's 1533-position model. The record is from RNAcentral.